This 500-nucleotide ribosomal RNA is filed under the name uncultured bacterium. RNAcentral's name for it is "partial 16S ribosomal RNA". It matches the Rfam family "Bacterial small subunit ribosomal RNA", at positions 30 to 523 of the family's 1533-position model. The record is from RNAcentral.
AUUGAACGCUGGCGGCAGGCCUAACACAUGCAAGUCGAGCGGAUGAGGGGUGCUUGCACCCCGAUUCAGCGGCGGACGGGUGAGUAAUGCCUAGGAAUCUGCCCGAUAGUGGGGGACAACGUUUCGAAAGGAACGCUAAUACCGCAUACGUCCUACGGGAGAAAGUGGGGGCUCUUCGGACCUCACGCUAUCGGAUGAGCCUAGGUCGGAUUAGCUAGUUGGUGGGGUAAAGGCUCACCAAGGCGACGAUCCGUAACUGGUCUGAGAGGAUGAUCAGUCACACUGGAACUGAGACGCGGUCCAGACUCCUACGGGAGGCAGCAGUGGGGAAUAUUGGACAAUGGGCGAAAGCCUGAUCCAGCCAUGCCGCGUGUGUGAAGAAGGUCUUCGGAUUGUAAAGCACUAUAAGUCGGGAGGAAGGGCUGCAGGUUAAUACCUUUCAGCCUUGACGUUACCGACGGAAUAAGCACCGGCUAACUUCGUGCCAGCAGCCGCAGUAA